CUUCUACAUCAUUCUUCCAAUUUUCUUUCUCGAGCAAAACUAGGGCUACAGUCUACAGAAGAGGCGGCUCUGAAAUUAUCUCAACUUCAACUUUCUUCCAUCUACUUUUAGUCUACAACCCUUCUCCUACAUCACCACCAUCAUCUCCAAGUGUUGUUGAUUUUGGUUGAAAAUCAAAUGGAUUCUACAGAUGUCCUUGGUUAUAUGACCAUUUAUGGGGAAGAAUGAAGAUCAGAGUGCAGCUAGGGGAGUUAAUAGUUGAAGGGUGUGUUACCAGUACCACUCAAUGAGGCUUUGUCAGACUCCAAUGGCUAACAGUUGAACGCUUUCCCUUAGGCCUUUGUUUCUUACUUGCCUAAGUUGCAGCUUGCGUGACUUUCAGAUCAAUUGAUCAGCGAUUUUAGGUUUUGGAUUUCAUUCACGUUUUAGUUCAAGUUUCCACAUUCUGGAUACAGAUACAUAGAGGAAAGUCAUUCAUUAUUCUUUGUUGUGCACAUAGAUUCUAAUUAAUAAUUUAUAAAAAUUCAUUAUUUAUAGUAAAA
Long non-coding RNA from Papaver somniferum (opium poppy), 542 nucleotides. RefSeq lists it as uncharacterized. Lineage: Eukaryota; Viridiplantae; Streptophyta; Magnoliopsida; Ranunculales; Papaveraceae. The record is from RefSeq and is a predicted model, not a curated record. The transcript is spliced from 2 exons.